This 174-nucleotide unclassified non-coding RNA is filed under the name soil metagenome. Its description in RNAcentral is "partial internal transcribed spacer 1". The record is from RNAcentral.
CACAAUAAACAUAUGAGGCUGCACCGCCAACAGGCGGCAAGGCUGGAGUAUUUAUUACCCUUGUCUUUUGCGCACUUGUUGUUUCCUGGCGGGUUCGCCCGCCUCCAGGACCACAUGAUAAACCUUUUUUAUGCAGUUGCAAUCAGCGUCAGUACAACAAAUGUAAAUCAUUUA